Myiozetetes cayanensis is the source of this 4256-nucleotide long non-coding RNA. RefSeq lists it as uncharacterized. The transcript is spliced from 3 exons. Lineage: Eukaryota; Metazoa; Chordata; Aves; Passeriformes; Tyrannidae. The record is from RefSeq and is a predicted model, not a curated record.
AGCAGCAGCCCCCAGAGAGAGGCGGGCUGUGAGCUCGGGGCCCGAAGAGCUCCAGUCUCACCUGUAGCGUAUAACAGAGUGAAAAGUAACGGUAGCAUCUAUUUUUAUGCAAAACUCACGUUUUUGUUUGUUUUUUUUGAUGCUUAUUUUUGGGGAGGCGGAGGAGGACGGGCAAGAAGCUUUUUGGGAAUUGUCAGUCUGACCUGUGUCAAAGUACAUCAUGUCCUAGCUGGAAAUGGCCGUGGGCAUUGCAGUUGGAACCAUUUAGGCAGCAUUCGAGGCUCCUGUCGGUGCUGAGAACUGUAGCGCUGUAUCCCUGUGUAAAUAUCUGUUGCUGAGAUUUCUAGAGGCAGCUGCAGAAGUUUUUUGGGUUUUCCCCCAUGGCCCCAUCUCACUAUCAUAAUUUUCAACCCCUCGUCUUCUCUUUCUGAAGUGUGUCUCUUUGGUCUCUGAUGCCCACAGUGCUUUUCAGUUGCUAAUAAACUGUGUGAUGUGCUUUGUCACUUUUGUGCCUGGCUCCAGAAACAAGAAGUACAUCAGAGAAGGUUGUAGUUUUUAGAUAAUAGUUUUUAGAUCUGACAAUAGUGAAUAUAUUGCACACAUGGGCAUCUUUGUCUGCUAGCAGGUAUGUCCUAGUGGUGCACCACCUUUAGAGAAGGUGCUCACCUGAUUGCUUGAAGUGAUGUAAUCAUUUCAUAUACAUGUACGUAUUUUGAACAUAUUUCACAUAUAUAUAUAUAUAUAAAAUACAGCUUUUUAAUUAUUAUUUUAACUUUUCUGUGAUUGCUGUUGCUUGCUAUGCUGAAAGAGUCUCCGAAGGCAUGAGGCUUUAAAAUGUGCAGUAUGUCAUGGUGCAGACAAAGUUGUACCUGUACUUCAGUGGCCUGGGUUUUGGCUGCCAUAUACAAGGGGUUGGCUCAUUGCCUGUCAGACUUUAGUCUCAGUCUCAGAUUAGUGACUGUUUUUGUCACUGCAAUCUGUUUAGGUUCUUCAGAAUGUUUUAAGUAACAGCCUCAUGCUGUUAUUUACUAAAGCGUGGUAGCAACAUGGGAGCACCAAUAGGUUUUGGGUUAGACCUCAGUCAGCACAAGUUUGAACCUUGUGUUGCUGUUAAACAGAACUGAUAAUACACCACUUUCAGUCUGGGAAUUAAAAUCUGGGGUAGUGCUAUCUUUAUUUUCCUUUUAGCCACUGAAAUAAUGACCCACUUCCAGUAACUAGUAAAUCCAAAGACAAGCAAAUUUGAAAGUCACAGUAAGUUGCAGUGUUAAUUUAGCAGGAAUGCUGUUGUUCACUGCAAAGACAAUCAGGUCAUACACUCAUGUGCCACUCAUUAAUUACAGUUCUGACUGGAAACUGCUAGAAUCAAAUGCCUGAACUCUGGAGGGGGGCCUACAUGAGCAGGCAAGAGGCAAAUCUUUAUCUAUUGCUGUCUUACUGAAAGGAAAUAGUAAAAAAAUACAAGCCGUUUGUCUUCUUUAAGCAUUUUGUGAAAGAGAGUAAAGCUGUGGACUGGGGGUCCUAAGAGAUAUUACAACAAAUAAUACAGUCUCAUCAGUUGGGACAGUGUAGCAUCUGUAUCAAAAAGUGUUUAAUUUUGGGUCGUGCUUCUGUUUGUAUAAAGAUGGUUUUACUUAAUAUGUAUAAGUAACCAAGGACCUAAGUUGGAGGAAGAUACUUCUUGAAAGAGUGAAGAUUUCAUCCACUGCCUUGUAUUAAGUUGUAUUAAGUUCAGGGUAUCACACUCUUUUUAAAAGAGUGGCCUAAUGUCAGGCCUUUGACCUCAAGUUUAAUAUUCAAUUGUAAAAGUAAUGGAUUUUAGAGCUUAAGCAGGGAAAAGAGAGUGAAAAAGGAUGCCAGCACUUCAAACACUGCAUGUUCCUAAAGGUUGGCAGCAGAUGAAAAUGGAGAGGAUGGAGGUGAUGGGUAUCCCUGCCACCAAUCUGAUGGUGCCCCUGAAUAUGCCCCUUUCCUGCCCGUGUUCUUGGUGGGCCCUCGACAUUGACUGAUGAGCUGCUGUUGCACUACCCUGUACGUGUUUCUCCUUGAUCCUCUGGGGUCGGGUAGUUACACUUGCAAGUAUAGGUGGCAUUGCAAUCCAGCUAGACAAAACCAUAAACCUAGGUCCUGCACCUUCUGUACUAAAAGGAGGGGAGGACUUUGAUUGCAGGAGCAUUUGCUGCCAAAGGACAGAGGAUCAUGGAAGGAAAAUGAAAUGGCUUGUAGGAAGUGUGGACCACAAGGCUGCUGAAACACAGACUGUCUGGCUCUCCCUGCCUCAUUCCUCUACCCCAGAGAUGAUGUGGCUUUUUCCAGGUUCCUCCUUCUCCUGAGAGACAGUGCAAAGAGAUGGAGGGGUCCUUGAAGCCAUCUUUGCCAUCACAGUCUUCAUGGCCUUGUGAAAAUUGCUUUGUCCCACCUCUGAGUUGUUAAAGACUUCUGCAAGUGUGAUUACAUAAUCAGUCAAGUACAUCUGAGUGCUUUGCUUGCUACAAUCCUGCUGCAGCAACUUGGAACCAGUUUUAAGACAGACACUGAAAAUGGCUUGUGGCUGUUUCUUGGGAUGAUCUGAUCUAAGGGCUGCCAGCACAGUAAAAGAGCAAGGCUUGCCUGUUGCAUCUAUAGUAAUUGGUACCCCAGAGGGAGUCACCUGCUUCUAAGAGAUAGGCAGCUUCUUUCUACCCUUCUUCUUAUGAAUCACAGCUGCUGAGAGAUACUGUGUCCUUGGUGAUGCAGAGUGAACAGAUGCCUUAACACAGAGACCCAAGUUGCUCCAAAGUUGGAAUGUUCUUCUCUUAACUUGUUAUUGAUGCAGUAGAAUAAACAUGGCUGUCCCUUUCUAGCUGUACAAGAGAUAGCAUUGCCUGCUUUUUAUCAUUACCCCCUGAGCAGCUCGUCUCCAACAGCACGUGCUCCUACAGACUUGUUGCUGUGGGUUACCAUCCACCUACCUGCCAGCAGGGACUGGUCAUGGAGACAGCAUCAACCUAAACUCUUCAGUUCUGGUACUAACUUUGUUUCCAUAUUUUGUAAAGCCUAUUCAGCUCCUUUUUUUUUUUUUGGGUGGCAUAAAGCUGCCAAACAUCUGGCAUCUUUGUUUAGUGAUUGCAAAUAAACUCUUGACAACUUUGCUUAGUUGCAAAGGCAAGAACAGAUUAAUGCAAGUAAGAGUCAAAGUAGUAAAUAAAGGGUGUUCUCUGAAGACAGCAGUGCUCAGUAUCUGGGGUUCAGGCUAAAGAUCCCAAAAAGAACAACAUCUGAUGCUAAUAAUGCCAAAAUAUUUGCAGCUAACCCUCUCUGCAAGGCUACAUUCUACUCCCACAAGGAUCCCACUGAUGUAACACUGAGGGUGGAUUUGUUAGCUUGUGUCAUGCAUGCCCCAAUGUCAGUGCAGGAGCAGGAGAGGUAGUUCUUUCCUUUCUUGGGGUAAGCUGUUAUGGUAUCCACUGCCUCAUAUACUUGCACCCAAGUAGCGUGCCUUCCCACUCUGCUCUUUACAGGUACCUGUGUGCAAUGCCACUUCAUCCUCUCCAUCUACACUUUUGCACCAAUCCUGCUGACAUUCCUCCUGCUCCUCAUCCUGGCCUCUGGCAAACUUUAAGCUCACAACAGCCAGGCAAUGACACAGAUGUGUGUGGUUUGCCUGCACACUGUGUACAGAGCCUUUCCCUGUCUGUAACAUGCCCCAGAAAUCAAAGAUGACUGGCUGCUACAGGAAGUCAAAGUCACUCAGGCCCCAGAGAAGCAGAUGGCUCAAAAGUAAGAAAAUUGCCAGUGGCUUAGUUAUGUGAUAGCAGGGGAGGAAAGUGUGACCACUUUUCCGUGAUCAGUCACAGAGCAAAACCAUGUGGCUUUUACACCUAUUUGAUCUGCAAUACUUAAAUAUUAGUAAUUACAAGUAAUAAAUAUUAUUUAUAAUAUUACUUGUUAUAAAUAGUUGUGCAAGUUGUAAUCUUCCCACUUCCUCUCAUCAUGGUCAUGCUACAGGUUGCAUAAUUUUUAAGUUCUGGUUUUAAUAAAGAAUCAAAUGGAACACAGAAAUAUUGGAUUAUGCGCAGGUGUGAAUUUGCAACAUGUAAACAAACUGCUGGCAGUUACAAGGCUCUCUUUAAAAGAAUUUUUCUUGCAAAUGCAGUUCUUUUCUAGCUGGGUCACUGUGAGGGGAGGAAAAAAAAAGAAAAAGCAAAAGUGUGGCUUUGUGAGGGAAAAUGGGAAGCAAAGAAAGCAACCUCAUCACCAGCUUAAUUAAACUGGCA